Molecule: long non-coding RNA, 1477 nt
Organism: Esox lucius (northern pike)
Lineage: Eukaryota; Metazoa; Chordata; Actinopteri; Esociformes; Esocidae
Source: Ensembl
GUUAUGUCUAGGUGUCUUUAUGGAUCACUGAAACUGUGAAUUUUGUAUACAAAUAUAGAAAAUCUGGAAAAUGUUCACCCACCCAACUUCAUUCUUUGAUGGUAUUGAAGAAGGUUGAUUUUUGUUUGUUUUUAUCACUUCUCUUUAUUGUCUCUCAUCCAAGCAGUCAAUGAACGGCUGCAACAGUUCUCCUCCAGUCCUGGAAAGAUGGACAGUUUGUUGACAUGCCAAGUGUUCAUCUUUGACCCUUAUACACAAACUCAAUCACCCACUUAUAAUCUGUCAAUUAGUACUUGGCACAUGGAAUGCUAAUUCUUAUGCUCAUUUAAAUAAUUAAGACUUAAACCAUUGUACAACGGUAAGGAGGGGGCAAUAUGAGUAGAAUGGCUACAUCCAAAAUCAGAGUUCAAAUCUUAAAUAGUGCACUGCAGUUCACCAGGGCCAUAGACAAUAGUGCACACUAUAUAGGGAACAGUGUGCACAUUUGAGAACUGGUGAAUGAGAUCACUCUGUAAGCUCAUUAGAAUAAUUACCCCACAUUUGAGACCCCUCAUUUAGCGUCUAAAUUGACCCAGAUUUUUUGCCCUGUUCCUAGAACUUCCUGGAUCCAAGCUAGGUUCAGGCUCAUUGGUGGCCACGUUCUGAGUGUUAACCCUAAAGAAUCCAACAACACACCGGGCACAUUCGUUACAUUGUUUUGUAACGCUGCCCCAUGAAAUCCUGUGUUUUUCUUACUUUGUGUUGUUGGACCUGGGAUGCCAGGCUUCCUUGAACUUUCUGAUUGUCAGGAUUUCUAGAACUUUUUGAAUGUCAGGUUUCAAUUUUCUGAACACCAGGGUUUCUAUAGCCUCCCACAUAUCAAGGUUUCUAUAACAUCCCACAUGUCAAGGUUUCUAUAACAUCCCACAUGCCAAGGUCUCUAUAACAUCCCACAUGUCAAGGUCUCUAUAACAUCCCACAUGCCAAGGUUUCUAUAACAUCCCACAUGCCAAGGUCUCUAUAACAUCCCACAUGUCAAGGUUUCUAUAACAUCCCACAUGUCAAGGUUUCUAUAACAUCCCACAUAUCAAGGUUUCUAUAACAUCCCACAUGUCAAGGUUUCUAUAACAUCCCACAUGCCAAGGUUUCUAUAACAUCCCACAUGCCAAGGUUUCUAUAACAUCCCACAUAUCAAGGUUUCUAUAACAUCCCACAUGUCAAGGUUUCUAUAACAUCCCACAUGCCAAGGUUUGCAGAAUUUCCCCUUUUCUGUGAUUGUCACUACAUUCUUUCAGAUUUUCAACCAAUCCCUAGUAUAAAUAAAGGGAAACUGAGUGAACAAAUAACAACCUUUGUAUUUAUUUAUUCUCGUUGCUAGUGUGAACAGAACAUUGUAUUGGACAAUGUAACAGUGGCCACCCCACCCGUCCUCAAACUUUUAUCUGUAUCCCUCCCUGGCUCCUGUGUCGCUGGGGCUGAGCCAUGUUGAGGGCUGUGU